RNAcentral lists this unclassified non-coding RNA (520 nucleotides) under uncultured Entrophospora. Its description in RNAcentral is "SSU rRNA". It matches the Rfam family "Eukaryotic small subunit ribosomal RNA", at positions 569 to 1087 of the family's 1831-position model. The record is from RNAcentral. Lineage: Eukaryota; Fungi; Glomeromycota; Glomeromycetes; Entrophosporales; Entrophosporaceae.
AGCAGCCGCGGUAAUUCCAGCUCCAAUAGCGUAUAUUAAAGUUGUUGCAGUUAAAAGCUCGUAGUUGAAUUUCGGGAUUGACACAUCGGUCGUGCCUUAAGGGGUAUGAACUGGUGUAGUCAAUUUCUCACCUUCUGGAGAACCGCGAUGCCCUUAAUUGGGUGCCGCGGGGAACCAGGACCCUUACUUUGAAAAAUUAGAGUGUUUAAAGCAGGCAUUUUGCUUGAAUACAUUAGCAUGGAAUAAUAAAAUAGGACGGCAUGAUUCUAUUUUGUUGGUUUCUAGGAUCACCGUAAUGAUUAAUAGGGAUAGUUGGGGGCAUUAGUAUUCAAUUGUCAGAGGUGAAAUUCUUGGAUUUAUUGAAGACUAACUACUGCGAAAGCAUUUGCCAAGGAUGUUUUCAUUAAUCAAGAACGAAAGUUAGGGAUCGAAGACGAUCAGAUACCGUCGUAGUCUUAACCAUAACUAUGCCGACUAGGAUCAGACGAUGUUAAUUUUUUAAUGUACUUCGUUUGGCUAC